AUUGCUUCUCUGCUCCUUGGAGCUAAGAUCAAAGCGCAGUGUCAGUUCUCAUCAGUUUAAUAUCUGAUAAGUCCUUUGUUGAGAACUGUAUAUUAAAUUGAUUUUGGAAACAAGGAGAUGGAGAUAGGAGUUUGCUCUGUCCACCCCAUGCAUUGACCUGGUAUUGCAGUGUUUCUAGGACCAGUGCUUCUCCU
Small nuclear RNA from Mauremys reevesii (Reeves's turtle), 194 nucleotides. RefSeq annotates it as U2 spliceosomal RNA. The record is from RefSeq and is a predicted model, not a curated record. NCBI's taxonomy places the organism in Eukaryota, Metazoa, Chordata, Testudines, Geoemydidae. The transcript has a single exon.